This 1903-nucleotide long non-coding RNA is filed under the name Oryctolagus cuniculus (rabbit). Its description in RNAcentral is "lncRNA (ENSOCUG00000038860.1)". The record is from RNAcentral. Lineage: Eukaryota; Metazoa; Chordata; Mammalia; Lagomorpha; Leporidae.
AUGCACAGGAAACCCCUUGUCAUUCCUGGCAGGUGGCUGCCCCCGAGGCAGCGCCGGCUCGGGCUCCCUGCCUACCUCCUCCCACCCCCCGGGGCACAGGUGGACCACAAGCAUGGAGGGGCCAGCGGCACUGAGCGGGCGCCAGGUGAGUGGCCGGGCCCUGCUCUCGGGAACAGGGGCUCUGGCUGCCAGCCCACUCAGGGCACCCCCGUCCCAUGGGGAGUGCUUGGUUCCAGUCCCACUUCUGGCUCCCGACAACAGCUGCCACUGCUCAGGUACUCGGGUCCCACACUCAUGUGGGAGACCUGGAUGAAGUUCCACGUCCUGGCUUCGUACCAGCCUAGUCCCGGUCAUGCAGGCAUUUGGGCAGGGAACUCUGUCUGCCUGUGUCCCUAUCUCUGGUUCUCUUCCUGUCUGCCUCUGUCUCUGCCUGCCCCUCUGUUGGUCUGCCUGUCCCCCUCUGGUCUGUGUGUCUGUCCCUGUGUCUACCUGCCUGCCCCUCUGUCAGCCUGUCCCUCUGUCUACCUGUCUGUCCCGCUGUCAGCCUGUCCCUCUGUCUACCUGAGUGCUUGUCCCACUGUCAGCCUGUCCCUCUGUCUACCUGUCUGCCCCUCUGUCUACCUGAGUGCCUGCCCCGCUGUCAGCCUGUCCCUCUGUCUACCUGUCUGCCCCUCUGUCAGCCUGUCUCUACCUGUCUGUCCCGCUGCCUGUCUCUGUCUACCUGUCUGUCCCGUUGUCUGCCUGUCCCUCUGUCUACCUGUCUGCCCCUCUGUCAGCCUGUCCUUCUGUCUACCUGUCUGUCUGCCCCUCUGUCUACCUGAGUGCCUGCCCCGCUGUCAGCCUGUCCCUCUGUCUACCUGUCUGCCUCUCUGUCAGCCUGUCUCUACCUGUCUGUCCCGCUGACUACCUGUCUCUGUCUGUCCCGCUGUCUCUGUCCCUCUGUCUACCUGUCUGUCCCGCUGCCUGCCUGCCCCUGUCUGCCUGACCCUCUGUCUCUGUCCCCCUGUCUAACUGUCUGCCCUGCUGUCUGCCUGUCUCUGUCUGUCCCGCUACCUGCCUGUCCCUCUGUCUACCUGUCUGUCCCACUGUCUGCCUGCCCCUCUGUCUACUUGAGUCUCUGCCCCACUGUCAGCCUGUCCCCCUGUCUAUCUGUCUGCCCGCUGCCUGCCUGCCUGCCCCUCUGUCCACUGCCUCUGUCCUCUGCCUGCCACUUUUCCUCUGCCUCUCACGCUGCUGCAUGAAGGACAGGGUGGGUGUGGGAUGCGAGUCCUGGCGUCGUGUCCUUCAGGCUGGACCUGUGGGACCUUCCAGGACAAUCUCAGGGAACGGAGCCUUGGGAGCCCCGGGCCUGCCGGGCCGCCGCUGCGCCCCCACGCUGCCCGAGGCCGGCCUCUGCCCACCUCCUUGUUGCCAGCUGGGUUCUUGCCGUCACUGCCACCUUGCCGGUGCGUGGUGAUCCCUGGUGCUUAAUUAGACAUUGUCCUCACCGUGAAAGUCAGUGCAAUCCCAGGGGAGCCCCAUGCCCGGGCAGGUGCAGACAGGUGACUCCGUGGGCGGAGCCCUCCUGACUCACCUGGUGCAUUCCCCAGGAGGCGCUGCUUACAGCUGGGCCGGUGGCUCCCAGGGCUGGCUGUGCACGCUGGGAACCAACACCGACGGCAGGUUUAGCUCAGUUCGCCUAAUUUCAAUCCAUAAGGCAGAUCCUAAACGGUCCUGGCAGAUUUUACGAAGAACCUCCUGUGUCUCGCCCCAUCCGGUGCUCUGUUCCUGCUACAACACCAACUCCAUUCAACCAAGCUUCAGAAACAGGCCCGAGGGCCCACAUCCAGCCCACGCCUGACCCGCGACCCCUUCCGACUGCUGGCCCAUUUCCCAAAGGAGAGCCCAGCGGCAAAGGGUCCGU